This 465-nucleotide ribosomal RNA is filed under the name Vreelandella stevensii. RNAcentral describes it as "partial 16S ribosomal RNA". It matches the Rfam family "Bacterial small subunit ribosomal RNA", at positions 338 to 795 of the family's 1533-position model. Lineage: Bacteria; Pseudomonadati; Pseudomonadota; Gammaproteobacteria; Oceanospirillales; Halomonadaceae. The record is from RNAcentral.
CCUACGGGAGGCAGCAGUGGGGAAUAUUGGACAAUGGGGGGAACCCUGAUCCAGCCAUGCCGCGUGUGUGAAGAAGGCCCUCGGGUUGGAAAGCACUUUCAGUGAGGAAGAACGCCUGGUGGUUAAUACCCAUCAGGAAAGACAUCACUCACAGAAGAAGCACCGGCUAACUCCGUGCCAGCAGCCGCGGUAAUACGGAGGGUGCGAGCGUUAAUCGGAAUUACUGGGCGUAAAGCGCGCGUAGGUGGCUUGAUAAGCCGGUUGUGAAAGCCCCGGGCUCAACCUGGGAACGGCAUCCGGAACUGUCAAGCUAGAGUGCAGGAGAGGAAGGUAGAAUUCCCGGUGUAGCGGUGAAAUGCGUAGAGAUCGGGAGGAAUACCAGUGGCGAAGGCGGCCUUCUGGACUGACACUGACACUGUGGUGCGAAAGCGUGGGUAGCAAACAGGAUUAGAUACCCCAGUAGUC